GUAAAAAUGCCAGAGAUUUUUAUGGGGUUGGUUUAGGACUAAUUUACAGCUUGUUAAGCUUUUUUACU
This 68-nucleotide transfer RNA is filed under the name Spirometra erinaceieuropaei. Its description in RNAcentral is "tRNA-Leu". RNAcentral also lists the same sequence under 2 other names. Lineage: Eukaryota; Metazoa; Platyhelminthes; Cestoda; Diphyllobothriidea; Diphyllobothriidae. The record is from RNAcentral.